UAGUAAUAAAUCUUGAUUAAACUUUAACUUUAAUUAAUCUUUA
Molecule: transfer RNA, 43 nt
Filed under: Mecaphesa facunda
Lineage: Eukaryota; Metazoa; Arthropoda; Arachnida; Araneae; Thomisidae
Description: tRNA-Leu
Source: RNAcentral